This 253-nucleotide ribosomal RNA is filed under the name uncultured bacterium. Its description in RNAcentral is "partial 16S ribosomal RNA". It matches the Rfam family "Bacterial small subunit ribosomal RNA", at positions 524 to 776 of the family's 1533-position model. The record is from RNAcentral.
UACGUAGGGUGCAAGCGUUAAUCGGAAUUACUGGGCGUAAAGCGUGCGCAGGCGGUCUUGCAAGACAGAUGUGAAAUCCCCGGGCUCAACCUGGGAACUGCAUUUGUGACUGCAAGGCUAGAGUACGGUAGAGGGGGAUGGAAUUCCGCGUGUAGCAGUGAAAUGCGUAGAUAUGCGGAGGAACACCGAUGGCGAAGGCAAUCCCCUGGACCCGUACUGACGCUCAUGCACGAAAGCGUGGGGAGCAAACAGG